RNAcentral lists this unclassified non-coding RNA (250 nucleotides) under plant metagenome. RNAcentral describes it as "partial contains small subunit ribosomal RNA, internal transcribed spacer 1, and 5.8S ribosomal RNA". The record is from RNAcentral.
GUAGGUGAACCUGCGGAAGGAUCAUUAACACGUAUCCAACGUUAAACCCCCCCGUGAAUAUUAAGCGUGCUCUUACAUCCUUGCACAACAGCAAUCUCUGGUAAAUCAUGUCGAACGGUUUGAUUCAGAGACCUCUGGCUUGUGCGAUGACGGCGGAAGCUAAAGGUGUAAUCGAGCGCUAGGUUCAGUGGUUUGGUCUUCCCCUCAAACCACUUCAAUGAAUGUCAGUGUCAUUGAAGUGUGAUGGGGA